Lathyrus oleraceus (garden pea) is the source of this 107-nucleotide small nucleolar RNA. NCBI's taxonomy places the organism in Eukaryota, Viridiplantae, Streptophyta, Magnoliopsida, Fabales, Fabaceae. The record is from RefSeq and is a predicted model, not a curated record.
AUCCCAUGGUGGGGACAUUGUCUAAGAAACUAUUUAAAUAUUUCUCAAGCAUCAAAUAAGGAUUCAUCUUCUCCUUGUCUAAAUGAGGUAAUCUUGUUUCUCAUCUU